GGUUGGGUAACAUAAAGGUAAUGUGCGGGAUUGCAAAUCCUAAAAUGGCAGUUCGAAUCUGCCCCUAACCU
Molecule: transfer RNA, 71 nt
Organism: Chlorella variabilis
Lineage: Eukaryota; Viridiplantae; Chlorophyta; Trebouxiophyceae; Chlorellales; Chlorellaceae
Rfam family: tRNA
About the family: Transfer RNA (tRNA) molecules are approximately 80 nucleotides in length. Their secondary structure includes four short double-helical elements and three loops (D, anti-codon, and T loops).
Source: Rfam